This 185-nucleotide ribosomal RNA is filed under the name uncultured bacterium. RNAcentral's name for it is "partial small subunit ribosomal RNA". It matches the Rfam family "Bacterial small subunit ribosomal RNA", at positions 26 to 228 of the family's 1533-position model. The record is from RNAcentral.
AGAAUCAACGCUGGCGGCGUGCCUAACACAUGCAAGUCGAACGAGAAAGUGGAGCAAUCCGUGAGUAAAGUGGCGCACGGGUGAGUAACACGUGACUAACCUACCUUGAGUGGGGAAUAACCUAGGGAAACCUGGGCUAAUACCGCAUAACACCUACGGGUCAAAGGAGCAAUUCGCUUAGAGGG